AAAAUAUUAAUUUAAAUUUUAAAAUUUUAAUUUGUGAAAUUAAAAAUAAAAAUAAAUCUUUUUUUAUAUAUUUAU
Molecule: transfer RNA, 75 nt
Filed under: Asphondylia rosetta
Lineage: Eukaryota; Metazoa; Arthropoda; Insecta; Diptera; Cecidomyiidae
Description: tRNA-His
Source: RNAcentral